This 471-nucleotide long non-coding RNA is filed under the name Vitis vinifera (wine grape). RNAcentral describes it as "long non-coding RNA (VVIN_LNC005866)". The record is from RNAcentral. Lineage: Eukaryota; Viridiplantae; Streptophyta; Magnoliopsida; Vitales; Vitaceae.
UUUAGAGUUGAUCGGUUAUGUAGAUUAUUUCUAGGGUUUUUGCUGAUCUGAAAAUUCCCAUUUUUAGUUGCAGGGUUGUAUAGAAAUUUAGUACCACUUUCCAUAUAUGAAAGAUGUCAGGAUCUGAAACUGGAAUCAUGACUACCAGAGAGCCCUUCAGCAUGGGUCUCCAGAAAAAUGCGGUACCGUCACAGCCGGUGAUACAAAACAUGCGCUUAGCCUUCAGUCCAGACGGAGCAGCUGUGUACAAGCCCGUUUCCGGGACCUCCCCGCCGUACCAGUCUUCCGGCGGUACCGGUGGAGAUGGUUCCACCGGCGGCGCCAUCAUACCUCACGGCCUUAACAUGAAUAUGGGGAGUGAGCCCUUGAAGAGGAAGAGAGGGAGGCCAAGGAAAUACGGCCCAGAUGGGACCAUGGCACUGGCGUUGUCACCUGCUCCUUCUGGUGUGAACGUAUCUCAGUCCGGUGGGG